UCGACUUGGAGGUUGUUCCUUGAGGAGUGGCUUCCGGAGCUAACGCGUUAAGUCGACCGCCUGGGGAGUACGGCCGCAAGGUUAAAACUCAAAUGAAUUGACGGGGGCCCGCACAAGCGGUGGAGCAUGUGGUUUAAUUCGAUGCAACGCGAAGAACCUUACCUACUCUUGACAUCCACGGAAUUUGGCAGAGAUGCCUUAGUGCCUUCGGGAACCGUGAGACAGGUGCUGCAUGGCUGUCGUCAGCUCGUGUUGUGAAAUGUUGGGUUAAGUCCCGCAACGAGCGCAACCCUUAUCCUUUGUUGCCAGCGAUUCGGUCGGGAACUCAAAGGAGACUGCCGGUGAUAAACCGGAGGAAGGUGGGGAUGACGUCAAGUCAUCAUGGCCCUUACGAGUAGGGCUACACACGUGCUACAAUGGCGCAUACAAAGAGAAGCGACCUCGCGAGAGCAAGCGGACCUCACAAAGUGCGUCGUAGUCCGGAUCGGAGUCUGCAACUCGACUCCGUGAAGUCGGAAUCGCUAGUAAUCGUGGAUCAGAAUGCCACGGUGAAUACGUUCCCGGGCCUUGUACACACCGCCCGUCACACCAUGGGAGUGGGUUGCAAAAGAAGUAGGUAGCUUAACCUUCGGGAGGGCGCUUACCACUUUGUGA
This 654-nucleotide ribosomal RNA is filed under the name Pantoea sp. Esch5-61. Its description in RNAcentral is "bacterial SSU rRNA". It matches the Rfam family "Bacterial small subunit ribosomal RNA", at positions 812 to 1467 of the family's 1533-position model. The record is from RNAcentral. Lineage: Bacteria; Pseudomonadati; Pseudomonadota; Gammaproteobacteria; Enterobacterales; Erwiniaceae.